RNAcentral lists this ribosomal RNA (490 nucleotides) under uncultured bacterium. RNAcentral's name for it is "partial 16S ribosomal RNA". It matches the Rfam family "Bacterial small subunit ribosomal RNA", at positions 30 to 507 of the family's 1533-position model. The record is from RNAcentral.
AUUGAACGCUGGCGGCAGGCCUAACACAUGCAAGUCGAACGGUAACAGGAAGAAGCUUGCUUCUUUGCUGACGAGUGGCGGACGGGUGAGUAAUGUCUGGGAAACUGCCUGAUGGAGGGGGAUAACUACUGGAAACGGUAGCUAAUACCGCAUAACGUCGCAAGACCAAAGAGGGGGACCUUCGGGCCGUUUUCCAUCGGAUGUGCCAAGAUGGGAUUAGUUAGUAGGUGGGGUAUCAGCUAACCUAGGCAACGAUCCCUAGCUGGUCUGAGAGGGUGCCCGGCCACAUUGGAACUGAGACACGAUCCAGACUCCUACGGGAGGCAGCAGUUGGGAAUAUUGCACAAUGGGCGCAAGCCUGAUGCAGCCAUGCCGCGUGUAUGAAGAAGGCCUUCGGGUUGUAAAGUCCUUUUAUCGGGGAGGAAGGGAGUAAAGUUAAUACCUUUGCUCAUUGACGUUACCCGCAGAGGAAGCGCCGGCUAACUCCGUG